This 253-nucleotide ribosomal RNA is filed under the name uncultured bacterium. RNAcentral's name for it is "partial 16S ribosomal RNA". It matches the Rfam family "Bacterial small subunit ribosomal RNA", at positions 524 to 776 of the family's 1533-position model. The record is from RNAcentral.
UACAGAGGGUGCGAGCGUUAAUCGGAAUUACUGGGCGUAAAGCGUGCGUAGACGGUUAUUUAAGUCGGGUGUGAAAGCCCCGGGCUCAGCCUGGGAAUUGCAUUCGAGACUGAAUAGCUAGGGUACGGUAGAGGGAAGUGGAAUUUCCGGUGUAGCGGUGAAAUGCGUAGAUAUCGGAAGGAACAUCAGUGGCGAAAGCGACUUCCUGGACCAGUACCGACGUUCAGGCACGAAAGCGUGGGGAGCAAACAGG